AAGGGUCAGUUUUGUCAUCUGUAGAACAGGAACCACAACAGUACCCAUUCUACUGGGUAGUCAUGAGUCAGACUGUAUCCCUUGAAAUCCUGGCCCCACCAUUUUCUAGCCAUGUGACCCUAGACAAGUUACUUGACCUCCAUGUGGCUGUGUUUUCAUCUGUGAUAUGGGCAUAAUAACAGCACCUCAUCGGGCUGGUAUGAGUCCCAAAUGAAUUAAUAUAGGCAAAGCACUACCCUGUGCCCGUAGACAGUGUGGGCACAGAGGCCCUUUCACCUAGGAGCAUAUGGUCUGAGGGUGGGGACCUAAAUGGGCACCAUACAGUGUGAUAGGGGCCAGAGGGGGGUGCCCAGGAAGCGAGGAGUGGUCACCACUGCCUUGAUGGAGAUGGUCAGUGCCGGCCUCACUGAGGAAGCGCUAGGUGGGCUGGUCUUGAAGGUAGAUCGGGAGGUCAGUCCUGCCUCCCUCUGCCCGCCUGUCUGUGUCCCAGCUGGUGUGCGAGUUCUUGAGGGACCCACUGUGUUCCUUGUGCGCCGGGUGUGGAAGGGGCACUAUGUGCAGGGGCUUCACUGGGAGGCACAGUGUGAAACCUUCAGGGAACUGCACAUUACUUGGAAUCAAAGAGAUGUCCUAACUAUUCCCUUUCCUUUUUCCUCUUCACUUUAAACUGUGGCUUGGUCAGGGUGACCUUAGGGGAAAACAAAAUUUAAAAAGGUUGAGAAGAGUUUGUAUCAAAAUGCGGUGUAUCUGCUGAGGCAGUUGCUCGCAAGCUCUGAAGACAGUAUUUGUUGAGGAUUUGGUGCACCGAGGAGGUGAGCACAGAGGAGCUAGGGCUCUCCUGAAAGCCUCAGGAACAAGGGCCAGAGAGCUGAGGCUUGCUUGAGUGGCUGGGAGAGCUCUGCCCUUAUAUGUCCCCAGCCAUGCACAUCGUGGGAGACUGAGUUGCCCUUCCGCGGUGGGGGGACCGACCGUCAGGACCAGCAUUUACUGUUACUCAUGUUGAAGAAAUCGAUGUCCAAAGGCGUUAAAUAGUGGCCCCAGUCACAUGGUAGUGAGUGGCAGAUGGGGAUUUGAGUCCAGCCCUCACCAACUCUCUGUGCUCUGUUGAUGCGGUGAACUUGAAUUCCUUGUUCAAUGAAUGAUCCUAAUCUUGCCUUCAGCUCGUAAUAAUUAAUAAUAAUAAAAAUGAAUUUAACUGAA
This is a long non-coding RNA of Manis pentadactyla (Chinese pangolin), 1200 nucleotides long. RefSeq lists it as uncharacterized. The transcript has 2 exons. The record is from RefSeq and is a predicted model, not a curated record. Lineage: Eukaryota; Metazoa; Chordata; Mammalia; Pholidota; Manidae.